RNAcentral lists this ribosomal RNA (255 nucleotides) under uncultured bacterium. RNAcentral's name for it is "partial 16S ribosomal RNA". It matches the Rfam family "Bacterial small subunit ribosomal RNA", at positions 524 to 776 of the family's 1533-position model. The record is from RNAcentral.
UACGAAGGUGGCAAGCGUUUGUUCGGAUUUACUGGGCGUACAGGGAGCGUAGGCGGUUGGAUAAGCCCUCCGUGAAAUCUCCAGGCUUAACCUGGAAAGUGCAGAGGGGACUGUUCAGCUAGAGGAUGGGAGAGGAGCGCGGAAUUCCCGGUGUAGCGGUGAAAUGCGUAGAGAUCGGGAGGAAGGCCGGUGGCGAAGGCGGCGCUCUGGAACAUUUCUGACGCUGAGGCUCGAAAGCGUGGGGGAGCAAACAGG